GGCAUAGCAUGCAAGUCACGGGAGGUGAUGGUAUCACUCUACUUGGCGCUGGUUAGGCUUCAGCUAGAGUACUGUGUCCAGUUUUGGUCACCAAUGUAUAGAAAGGAUCCAGAGAAAAUGAAAAUGAUCCA
This is a long non-coding RNA of Gopherus evgoodei (Goodes thornscrub tortoise), 131 nucleotides long. RefSeq lists it as uncharacterized. The record is from RefSeq and is a predicted model, not a curated record. The transcript is spliced from 3 exons. Lineage: Eukaryota; Metazoa; Chordata; Testudines; Testudinidae.